This 309-nucleotide small nuclear RNA is filed under the name Numida meleagris (helmeted guineafowl). Its description in RNAcentral is "7SK RNA (ENSNMEG00000010350.1)". It matches the Rfam family "7SK RNA". Rfam says of the family: 7SK was discovered as an abundant small nuclear RNA in the mid-70s but a possible function has only recently been suggested. Two independent studies have found that 7SK RNA binds the CDK9/cyclin T complex (known as elongation factor P-TEFb). Lineage: Eukaryota; Metazoa; Chordata; Aves; Galliformes; Numididae. The record is from RNAcentral.
GGAUGUGGGGGUGGCCUGGCUGUGAAAUCCAUAACCCCACUGAAUGCCAGGGUGUAUUUGUCUCAUCUGGCUGGCUGGGCAAGCAUCCCCUUCUUCCCUCGCUGCUCCAUGAGUCCCUCCCAAAGCUGUGCACUCGGUCAAAGAGGACGACUUCCCUGACAGAGAUGUACAUUCACCAGUCAGGAGUACACUGUAGCUGUGCUCCCCUGCUAGAACCUCCAAGCAAGUUCUGUAAUUCUAUGAGAUGAGUCUUUAAUGAAUAGAUGGAAGAGUUGAAAUUCCUCCUGAGAAAACUGACUCCGUGCAGUU